GGCCUGUUAGCUCAGCUGGUUAUAGCGUGUAGCUAAUAACGCCAAGGGCAUGGGUUCGAUCCCCACAUGGGCCA
RNAcentral lists this transfer RNA (74 nucleotides) under Danionella translucida. It matches the Rfam family "tRNA". From Rfam's summary of the family: Transfer RNA (tRNA) molecules are approximately 80 nucleotides in length. Their secondary structure includes four short double-helical elements and three loops (D, anti-codon, and T loops). The record is from Rfam by way of RNAcentral. RNAcentral also lists the same sequence under 1 other name. Lineage: Eukaryota; Metazoa; Chordata; Actinopteri; Cypriniformes; Danionidae.